Molecule: small nuclear RNA, 167 nt
Organism: Suricata suricatta (meerkat)
Lineage: Eukaryota; Metazoa; Chordata; Mammalia; Carnivora; Herpestidae
Gene: U1
Rfam family: U1 spliceosomal RNA
About the family: U1 is a small nuclear RNA (snRNA) component of the spliceosome (involved in pre-mRNA splicing).
Source: Ensembl
AAACAUACCUGCGAGGGGAGAAGCCAGCUACCCAGGAAGGUGGCUUUCCCAGGGUGAGGCUUACUCUGUUGUACUUCGGAUGUGCUGAGCCCUGUGACUUCCCCAAAUGCGGGAAACUCGACUGCAUAACUUGUGGUAGUGCGGGACCAUGUUCGUACUUUCCCCUA